GACGGAGGAUGCAAGCGUUAUCCGGAAUUAUUGGGCGUAAAGAGUACGUAGGCGGCCAAUCAAGUCUGGGGUUAAAGACCACAGCUUAACUGUGGAAGAGCCUUAGAAACUGGUUCGCUGGAGUGUGACAGGGGUAGAGGGAAUUCCCGGUGUAGCGGUGAAAUGCGUAGAUAUCGGGAAGAACACCUGUGGCGAAAGCGCUCUACUGGGUCACAACUGACGCUGAGGUACGAAAGCUAGGGGAGCGAAUGGG
Molecule: ribosomal RNA, 253 nt
Filed under: uncultured bacterium
Lineage: Bacteria
Description: partial 16S ribosomal RNA
Rfam family: Bacterial small subunit ribosomal RNA
Source: RNAcentral